Molecule: ribosomal RNA, 260 nt
Filed under: uncultured Teretomonas
Lineage: Eukaryota; Cercozoa; Glissomonadida
Description: partial 18S ribosomal RNA
Source: RNAcentral
CGUAGUUGGAUUUCUGGUACAAUGCACCUGGCCCGCGGCCUCUUAGGCUUAUGUAUUCAUAGCAAAAGCCUGCUUUAAACAGGGCAGGCCUGUUUUCUAGAAGGAUGGUAAACGCGCGCCGGCACUCACUAGCAUGGAAUAAUAAUCUAGGACUUCGGUUCUAUUUUGUUGUUUCAAAAACUGAAGUAAUGAGUUGGGGAUGCACCAAGGAUGUCUUCUUCUGUCUCUUAUACACAUCUCCGAGCCCACGAGACUGCUCA